UGGAGGUGGCUGAGCAAGGAACAAGGUU
Molecule: non-coding RNA, 28 nt
Filed under: Mus musculus (house mouse)
Lineage: Eukaryota; Metazoa; Chordata; Mammalia; Rodentia; Muridae
Source: RNAcentral